AGUGAACGCUGGCGGUAGGCCUAACACAUGCAAGUCGAACGGCAGCACAGUAAGAGCUUGCUCUUACGGGUGGCGAGUGGCGGACGGGUGAGGAAUACAUCGGAAUCUACUUUUUCGUGGGGGAUAACGUAGGGAAACUUACGCUAACACCGCAUACGACCUACGGGUGAAAGCAGGGGAUCUUCGGACCUUGCGCGAUUGAAUGAGCCGAUGUCGGAUUAGCUAGUUGGCGGGGUAAAGGCCCACCAAGGCGACGAUCCGUAGCUGGUCUGAGAGGAUGAUCAGCCACACUGGAACUGAGACACGGUCCAGACUCCUACGGGAGGCAGCAGUGGGGAAUAUUGGACAAUGGGCGCAAGCCUGAUCCAGCCAUACCGCGUGGGUGAAGAAGGCCUUCGGGUUGUAAAGCCCUUUUGUUGGGAAAGAAAAGCAGCAGGUUAAGACCCCGCUGUUCUGACGGGACCCAAAGAAUAAGCACCGGCUAACUGCGG
This 491-nucleotide ribosomal RNA is filed under the name uncultured bacterium. RNAcentral's name for it is "partial 16S ribosomal RNA". It matches the Rfam family "Bacterial small subunit ribosomal RNA", at positions 29 to 506 of the family's 1533-position model. The record is from RNAcentral.